UGGGAGGCUGUGAAACCAGGACGCCAGUUCUGGUGGAGCCAUCCUUGAAAUACCACCCUGUCGUGCUUGACGUUCUAACCUGGGCCCGUAAUCCGGGUCGGGGACCGUGUGUGGUGGGUAGUUUGACUGGGGCGGUCUCCUCCCAAAGUGUAACGGAGGAGCACGAAGGUACGCUCAGCGCGGUCGGACAUCGCGCACUGUGUGCAAAGGCAUAAGCGUGCUUGACUGCAAGAUCGACGGAUCAAGCAGGUACGAAAGUAGGUCUUAGUGAUCCGGUGGUUCUGUAUGGAAGGGCCAUCGCUCAACGGAUAAAAGGUACUCCGGGGAUAACAGGCUGAUACCGCCCAAGAGUUCAUAUCGACGGCGGUGUUUGGCACCUCGAUGUCGGCUCAUCACAUCCUGGGGCUGUAGUCGGUCCCAAGGGUAUGGCUGUUCGCCAUUUAAAGUGGUACGCGAGCUGGGUUCAGAACGUCGUGAGACAGUUCGGUCCCUAUCUGCCAUGGGCGUUGGAGAUUUGAGAGGGGCUGCUCCUAGUACGAGAGGACCGGAGUGGACGAACCCCUGGUGUUCCGGUUGUCACGCCAGUGGCACUGCCGGGUAGCUACGUUCGGAAGCGAUAACCGCUGAAAGCAUCUAAGCGGGAAGCGCGCCUCAAGAUGAGAUCUCCCGGGAGCUUGACUCCCCUGAAGGAACCAUCCAGACCAGGUGGUUGAUAGGCUGGGGGUGUAAGUACAGCAAUGUAUUGAGCUAACCAGUACUAAUGAUCCGUGCGGCUUGACCAUAUAACCUCA
Molecule: ribosomal RNA, 791 nt
Filed under: Bacillus tequilensis
Lineage: Bacteria; Bacillati; Bacillota; Bacilli; Caryophanales; Bacillaceae
Description: partial 23S ribosomal RNA
Rfam family: Bacterial large subunit ribosomal RNA
Source: RNAcentral